AGUGAACGCUGGCGGUAGGCCUAACACAUGCAAGUCGAACGGCAGCACAGUAAGAGCUUGCUCUUACGGGUGGCGAGUGGCGGACGGGUGAGGAAUACAUCGGAAUCUACUUUUUCGUGGGGGAUAACGUAGGGAAACUUACGCUAAUACCGCAUACGACCUACGGGUGACAGCAGGGGAUCUUCGGACCUUGCGCGAUUGAUUGAGCCGAUGUCGGAUUAGCUAGUUGGCGGGGUAAAGGCCCACCAAGGCGACGAUCCGUAGCUGGUCUGAGAGGAUGAUCAGCCACACUGGAACUGAGACACGGUCCAGACUCCUACGGGAGGCAGCAGUGGGGAAUAUUGGACAAUGGGCGCAAGCCUGAUCCAGCCAUACCGCGUGGGUGAAGAAGGCCUUCGGGUUGUAAAGCCCUUUUGUUGGGAAAGAAAAGCAGCAGGUUAAUACCCCGCUGUUCUGACGGUACCCAAAGAAUAAGCACCGGCUAACUUCGUG
RNAcentral lists this ribosomal RNA (492 nucleotides) under uncultured bacterium. RNAcentral describes it as "partial 16S ribosomal RNA". It matches the Rfam family "Bacterial small subunit ribosomal RNA", at positions 29 to 507 of the family's 1533-position model. The record is from RNAcentral.